CAGCGUUUUCAAGGAAGUAAACGCAACAAAGAGAGAUGACGGUUAUCUUUGUGAGACAAGAUCAGCCUCACAGAGUGCAAACUUUUUUAGGAGUUUAGACAAGCGUUAGUGUCUUCGUAUUUGCCUGUAGUCUCCGCCAGAAGACCGCUUUUUUUUUUUCUUAGAAAACCGAUGCCACGGGUUAAAACGGAAAGUCUUGGGUUUUAAAACCGAAACCUCUGUACGCACCGCAAAGAACCAAUCGGCAUCGUCGCUUCGCAACAUGCACGCGCACGGACGCACGCGCUUCGACCGAGCCGGGGCCCACGCAUUCCGUGCCGCAUUAUCCCUGCUGGUGUUCGAACGCCACUUCAGAGCUGUGUCCACUGUGUCCGCCAUCGAGGAUCAUUAAUAUCUUGGCACCUUUUCUCAAGGCUGUUCGAGGUGGGCUUAACACUGAGUGCACACCUGAAACCUCCUGCCAGCUGCUAAGUCCACGCAGGAUGAUGACAGUGCUGGGCAAUACGGUGGAUCAUCUCAACGAUGCCAUGAGAGCCGACAAAGGCGUGCUUUUUUCCAGGCUCCAAGGCAUCCUAUCCCAACUUCCACCAUCAAUCCGGGGCCGUAUCGGUGCAAGAACUGAAACCAUACGGUUGGGGGCGAGACAUUUUCCCAGUAAGAUUGUUGUCGGUCCAGACAACAGAGUUUACACAUCCACACGACCUCUCGCAUCUACCAGAAACUGUGGAGCAAAGAGCCACAGUGCGGCUGACAAAAAACACCUCAACAUGACUGAUGGACCCAUUGAGCUCUGUAAUGUCACGGGGACCAUCUCAAAGUUGUUAAAGCUUUAUGGUUUUGUCGAUUUGGUACAUCCACUUCGAGCUAGUGUUUCUUUUGACAAGAGAUUAUUCAUGGAAAAUAGGCACCAUGACCUAACAAAGUUGGUGUUCAAGCUAGGCAAUGUAGUCAUAUUUGAUGCAGUAAAAUGUCCACCAAGCCACAGAGCUAAGUAUCAGGCCACUCAUAUAGAACUUCAAAGAAAAAUGGCACAUACGAGCAGCCCCGCAACGAAGCAGGCAGCGUACCAACCAGGUAGUGAUGGCAUCGGAAGUGGACUUCCUGGCUCAAUCCAAGCCGUAAAUCCAAGCCAUGCAUAUAUAUUAUUCGGUGAAGACAAUAGCAUUGACAAGUCCUUGCUUCAGCCGGAAAAGACUUUGAAUGACAUAUUUAGCGUCCAGACAAGGUUCUCUUUGAUACCCAACCAAAUCCGAAGCCGACUAGCUACGCCAAGUGGUGGGCCACCAAUGUGAACAAAGCGCAUAGUGCUCAACUUUCCCAAGCCAACGACAGCAGAGACGAAGCUUUUCUAUUGAUAACAUUGACAAGUCCCUGCUUCAGCCGGAAAAGACUUUGAAUGACAUAUUUAGCAUCCAGACAAGGUUCUCUUUGAUACCCAACCAAAUCCGAAGCCGACUAGCUACGCCAAGUGGUGGGCCACCAAUGUGAACAAAGCGCAUAGUGCUCAACUUUCCCAAGCCAACGACAGCAGAGACGAAGCUUUUCUAUUGAUAACAUUGACAAGUCCCUGCUUCAGCCGGAAAAGAGUUUCAAUGAUAUAUUUAGCGUCCAGACAAGGUUCUCUUUGAUGCCCAACCAAAUCCGAAGCCGACUAGCUACGCCAAGUGGUGGACCACCAAUGUCAACAAAGCGCAUAGUGCUCAACAUUCCCAAGCCAACGACAGUAGAGACGAAGCUUUUCUAUUGAUAACAUUGACAAGUCCCUGCUUCAGCCGGAAAAGAGUUUCAAUGACAUAUUUAGCAUCCAGACAAGGUUCUCUUUGAUGCCCAACCAAAUCCGAAGCCGACUAGCUACGCCAAGUGGUCGGCCACCAAUGUUAACAAAGCACAUAGUGCUCAACUUUCCCAAGCCAACGACAGCAGAGACGAAGCUUUUCUAUCCGACAACAAUAUCGCUGAGCUUCUCCUUCACCCAAAGGAGUUCUCUGCACGAAGGAAACAGUCAAUCCAAGCCACACAUUUAUAUUAUUCGGUGAAGACAUUAUAGAGUGUUCCUACUUUUCUAUUGAUAACAUUGACAAGUCCCUGCUUCAGCCAGUAAAGAGUUUCAAUGACUUAUUUAGCGUCGGGGACAAUGUUCUAUUUGAUGCCCAACCAAAUCCUAAGCCAACUAGCUACGCAAGUGGUUGGCCACCAAAGUCAACAAAGUGCAAAGUGCUCAUCUUUCCCAGGCCAACGUCAGCGGAAACGAAGCUUUUCUCUCCGACAACGAUAUCGCUGAGCUUCUGCUUGACCCUAAGGAGUUCUCUGCACGAAGGAAACUGUCAAUCCAAGCCACACAUUUAUAUUAUUCAGUGAAGACAAUAUAGAAUGUUCCUACUUUUCUAUUGAUAACAUUGACAAGUCCCUGCUUCAGCCGGAAAAGAGUUUGAAUGACAUAUUUAGCGUCCAGACAAGGUUCUCUUUGAUGCCCAACCAAAUCCGAAGCCGACUAGCUAUGCCAAGUAGUGGACCACCAAUGUCAACAAAGCGCAAAGUGCUCAACUUUCCCACACCAGCGACAGCGGAGGCGAAGCUUUUCUAUCCGAUAACGAUAUCGCUGAGCUUCUGCUUGAUCCAAAGGAGUUCUCUGCACGAAAGAAACUGUCCGGCAUCAAAGGCUCAUUCUUCCUAAAGUCCACGAUUAGGGGUAUUGUAUCCACUGUUGAACCCAUUGUCAUGGUCCCAGUUCCAGACACAGUGACGUAUUGCAACAGAAGGAAGAUCAGGACAUUCAGUGAGCUGUUGAAAGGCAGUGCUGUCCUAGAAGAUUUAGAUGCCUUUACAGAUGCCAACGAAGCAAAACACGACAUAUGGUUAGCGACGCUCAUGUGGAGUGGUGAACUUCCCGAGCACUUCCGGCGGAGACGAAGCUUUUCUAUCCCCAACCCAACCAGAAAUCACCUCAUAGCCCCUACACAAUUCUCUCCGCAAUGCCGCUUCCGCGCAGAGCCCCGGUCCAUCAGGCACAUUUUAGGGGGUUGCAGACCGGCACCAUUAAAUCCUCCGAACCCUUACACCACUGACAAGCUUAGUGAGAGCCUUGGCCAGCUCCGACCUCGAGAAUCGGCAGCGGCUGAUUGCGAGGGCCCAUGACGCGGCCUGAGCUCAAGGCAUUCUGGAAUGAGGACGCCUCUCCAAAGCUGCAUUCACCCAUUAAAAAUGUUCAUUCUCUCUCUCUUUUUAUCCAACAACGACAUCGCUGAGCUUCUGCUUGACCCAAAGGAGUUCUCUGCACGAAGGAAACUGUCCGGUAUCAAAGGCUCAUUCUUCCCAAACUCCAAGAUUACGGGUCUUGUAUCCACUGUUCAACCCAAUGUCAUGGUCCUAGUUCCAGACACAGUGACGUAUUGCAGCAGAAGAAAGAUCAGGACAUUCAGCGAGUGGUUGCAAGACAGCGCCGUCCUAGAAGAUUUAGAUGCCUUUAUAGACGCCAUCGAAGCAGAACAGGACAUAUUGUUAGUGACGCUAAUGUGGUAUGGUUAACGUCCCGAGCACGUCCCUGCACUACGCAUUCUCAGAGAAAAUGACAUCAUUCGGAUUGACUAGAUUGUCGGUAUGGUUGGAGGGAAGGUGGAGGUGUGCAGCCGCCGUGUGCAGCCGCCGUGUGCAGCACGGUGAAAGGCCUUCAAAUGCGCACCAAAUGAGUCCCUCAGAGUUUGGCCUGCUGCUGAAGGCCAGGGCGGCGCAGCAAGACAUCCCUGCAGCACCUGGCAAGCUCUGCACACUAGCUCUCACGGCAGUGGACAAGGAGGGCCAAGCAGUGCUCCAAGCUGCAACUUUCCCGACGUCCAGAAAUCGGGAACUAACAGUCUGCCUCCAGAACCCGGUUAAUCCAAAUGGCCAUCGGCAGAUUCGCUUGGAAAGAUACUGGCUGUCAAGCAAGAUGUAACCGUCCCGUCACUACCUUCGGGUCCUGCCACCAGCAAUGCUACCAUAAAUGGGAAAUCCACUGCAGCUGCCUCCGCCCCCCUGGAACCUACAGUCUGCAUCUUCUCGACCGGAAAGGAGUAAUGCAAGUCCUUGACUGUUCUGCCAUGGUGGAAGCCAGAUAGGGGCAGACUAUCUGGGAGGUGACGGUCACUGUGGACAGCUUCUACAGGGAUGGCAGGAUGGUCUUGAGUGAACUCAACCCGGAUUCGUGCGAAAUAGUUCGAUGUAGUCAAAUUCAAAUAAAAAAUCAUGUAAAAAACGCUGU
Dermacentor albipictus is the source of this 4237-nucleotide RNA transcript. RefSeq lists it as uncharacterized. NCBI's taxonomy places the organism in Eukaryota, Metazoa, Arthropoda, Arachnida, Ixodida, Ixodidae. The record is from RefSeq and is a predicted model, not a curated record.